RNAcentral lists this ribosomal RNA (439 nucleotides) under uncultured bacterium. RNAcentral's name for it is "partial 16S ribosomal RNA". It matches the Rfam family "Bacterial small subunit ribosomal RNA", at positions 339 to 795 of the family's 1533-position model. The record is from RNAcentral.
CUACGGGUUGCUCCAGUGGGGAAUUUUGCGCAAUGGGGGAAACCCUGACGCAGCGAUACCGCGUGAGUGAAGAAGGCCUUUGGGUCGUAAAGCUCUUUUCUAAGGGAAGAUAGUGACGGUACCUUAGGAAUAAGCGCCGGCUAACUCCGUGCCGGCAGCCGCGGUAAUACGGAGGGCGCGAGCGUUGUUCGGAUUUACUGGGCGUAAAGGGCGCGUAGGCGGCCUGGCAAGUUAAGGGUGAAAUCCCGGGGCUUAACCCCGGAACUGCUCUUAAAACUGCCAAGCUAGAGAUGGUCAGAGGCGGGUGGAAUUCCAGGUGUAGAGGUGAAAUUCGUAGAUAUCUGGAGGAACACCGGUGGCGAAGGCGGCCCGCUGGGGCCAUUCUGACGCUGAGGCGCGAAAGCGUGGGGAGCGAACGGGAUUAGAUACCCCUGUAGUC